UACGUAGGGUCCGAGCGUUGUCCGGAAUUAUUGGGCGUAAAGGGCUCGUAGGCGGUUUGUCGCGUCGGGAGUGAAAACACGGGGCUUAACCCCGUGCCUGCUUCCGAUACGGGCAGACUAGAGGUAUGCAGGGGAGAACGGAAUUCCUGGUGUAGCGGUGAAAUGCGCAGAUAUCAGGAGGAACACCGGUGGCGAAGGCAGGUCUCUGGGCCACUACUGACGCUGAGAAGCGAAAGCGUGGGGAGCGAACAGG
This 253-nucleotide ribosomal RNA is filed under the name uncultured bacterium. Its description in RNAcentral is "partial 16S ribosomal RNA". It matches the Rfam family "Bacterial small subunit ribosomal RNA", at positions 524 to 776 of the family's 1533-position model. The record is from RNAcentral.